CGGCGAGUGGCGGACGGGUGAGUAACGCGUGGGAAUCUGCCCGACGGUGGGGGACAACUCGGGGAAACCCGGGCUAAUACCGCAUACGUCCUAAGGGAGAAAGGGGGCCUCUGCUUGCAUGCUCUCGCCGACGGAUGAGCCCGCGUCCGAUUAGCUUGUUGGUAAGGUAAAAGCUUACCAAGCCUAAGACGGGUAGCCGGCCUUAGCGGGUGAACGGCCACAUGGGGACUGAGACACGGCCCUGACUCCUACGGGAGGCAGCAGUGGGGAAUAUUGGGCAAUGGGCGAAAGCCUGACCCAGCGAUGUCGCGUGAGGGAUGAAGGCCUUCGGGUCGUAAACCUCUGUCAGGAGGGACGAUGGGACUUAUGUCUUGACGGUACCUCCAGAGGAAGCCCCGGCUAACUCCGUGCCAGCAGCCGCGGUAAUACGGAGGGGGCAAGCGUUGCUCGGAAUUACUGGGCGUAAAGGGUCCGCAGGCUGUCAGGCAAGUUGGUUGUGAAAGCUCAAGGCUUAACCUUGGAAUUGCAUCCAAAACUGCCUGACUAGAGUACAAGAGAGGUUGGCAGAAUUCCCGGUGUAGCGGUGAAAUGCAUAGAUAUCGGGAGGAAUACCAGAGGCGAAGGCGGCCAACUGGCUUGUAACUGACGCUCAGGGACGAAAGCGUGGGUAGCAAACCGGAUUAGAUACCCGGGGUAGUCCACGCCCUAAACGAUGGAUGCUAGGGUAGGGGGGAAUUUCAU
Molecule: ribosomal RNA, 741 nt
Filed under: uncultured bacterium
Lineage: Bacteria
Description: bacterial SSU rRNA
Rfam family: Bacterial small subunit ribosomal RNA
Source: RNAcentral